RNAcentral lists this long non-coding RNA (358 nucleotides) under Mytilus galloprovincialis (Mediterranean mussel). The record is from RNAcentral. Lineage: Eukaryota; Metazoa; Mollusca; Bivalvia; Mytilida; Mytilidae.
GACGUCACAAACAUAAAUAUAAAAUACUGACAAAAGGGGAACAACUCUCUCUUGCAUACAGAAACAUAAUCUGACCAUACAUACUGAUAUAUAACAUCCCGCCCCCAAAACAAAAAUUUACUAAAUUUUUACAAUGGUCAAUAUGUUUAUGUGUUUUAAAAAAAUACAAUAUAUAUUAAUUUCCAAAAUUGAAAGUUUACAUGAAUAAAGUUAAUCUCUCGACACUCUAGUAACCAUUUUAAAACAAACGUAUCAACGAUGCAAACCCGAAAGUCUGGCAUCUCGGACUCCUCCCUCGGAUGACCUUAUGCACGCAUUACUUUCACAAAACACUUACAGUCAUACACACAUAUUAAUG